Molecule: long non-coding RNA, 4732 nt
Organism: Lytechinus pictus (painted urchin)
Lineage: Eukaryota; Metazoa; Echinodermata; Echinoidea; Temnopleuroida; Toxopneustidae
Exons: 3
Source: RefSeq, a predicted model, not a curated record
ACCAUGGUUUGCUGUUCAGAAGGCCGUCUAUAAUUCAUCAUAAACUAAAGGAACACAGGUCAGAUUCGGACAACGACUUCAAAUUCAUUCGCAGAAUACGCUAAACAAUUGGACGACGGAUACACUGGAUGAUAAUGUAGAUGGUCCAGGAUUAUCUGGGAAGGAAACUACAGGUGUUGAACACAGAAAACCGUUAACAAGAAAACAACUGGAGUUUGUGAAAGUUGCAAGAAAUUAAUCUUGCCGGGUACGUAUUCACCUCACCUUGGUCGAGUGCAGCACAGUGGAUAAAUGUGUUGCUGAAGGAAAACACCAUUGCUAGGAUUCAAACCCACGACACUCUGUUGAAAGGUGAGAGUCAGAACCACUAGACCAUGACGCACCCACAGUUAACAAGCUGAUGUCAAUUCCCCACUUGUUCUUUUGUAUUUUAUAACAAGAAGUCAUGUUUAUUCACAUUUUGACCUCCAAGAACUAAAAAGUGGAGUGAAGAUUUAUUUAAUGUAAACACAUGCAUUGCUUGAAAUAAUGUUAUGCUACGUGGGACAUAUCAUACACACGUGUACGAAAAUAUGAAAUUAUUAUGAUUUCAUUUUAUAACAUAAGCCUAACACAUAUUCCUGACGAUCAUGUGCACAUUCCAGUAAUUUUUUCCAAAAUGUUGCUAAACCUUCAAAUCAAAGACUUUGUUAUCAGAUUUUAACGAAAUUGUCAACAUUAUGCUUUUCUGAUUAAUUUUCUUCCUACCUAAAUCUCCCCUUUCCUCAUGCUUUCUUUCUAUGGUCCCCUUCAUUCUCCUUAUAACUAUGUUAUAUGUAAAAUGUAACCGGUCGUCCAACCCAUUUGAUUGAAGGGCUAAGUACUCUAGACUGAAAGUUAUGUGAUUUAAAUUCAAAGAGUACAUCAGACAAAAAAAAACACUGAAAAUUUCGUCAAAAUUGAAUGAGGAUUAACAAAAUUAUGACUAAUUAAAGUUGUUAUUUUUUGGUAAACUGUUCUCUGCAAGUCCUCAUGAAUAUACAAGAUCCCAAUUUAUAUAUUUUUUUGUAUUAUAUGAAUUCAAAUUUUGUUCAAGCUAGGUUAUAAAAAUUAUAUUAUUUCUCACAGAUAGUUGAGUUAUUCAUCUGAUUCAACACAACAAAAAUAGACAAAAAAGAAAUAAGUGGGAAUCUUGUAUAUUUGAACUAUGGGAAAUAGUGUAAAAAUAGAUGUGCUACUAAGAAUUAUUUUCUAUAUGAUUUGCAAAAUAUUAAAAAAAGAUGUCGCUAUUUUUCUUGUUUUUUUUUCUAUUUUCAUGAUAUAUUCUUUAUUAUUCUAUUAUUCUAUAUAUUCUAUUUUUGAUAUAGAUAUUAUUUAUUUCUUUAUGUAUCUUUAAUGUAUUUAUGAUAAACUUUUGGCAUGUUUCUACAGAAAAUCAUUAAAAACGAUUUAUCUUUUCCGGACUCGAAAAACCUUAUCGCCCUUAAACCAACCUGCUUCUACAAACCGAAUAAUCUGAUUAACUCGCUUUUCGCGUUGCAAAUACGGCGGAAAUCGGAAAUUCAACCUAUAACCUCACGUUGCAUUGUACAUAUGUCCAAAAUUGCAUCUUCUUAGGAAAAUUUUCAAAAUUUGUGGUAGAUCUCACUCAAUGUAGCAGGUAUACGUGUUGCACGAUCAGCUGGCGAGAUCGAAAAGGCCAGAAUGUGCAAAUUUAUGUACUGCGAAAUUGCACUUCCGGGAUUAAGCACUUCCGCCAGACACGAUACGCUAUUUUGCCGUGUGUCUUUACAGAAAAGUUAAACGGAUUAACAUGGCAAUAACCACCUCUCAGAGAUGGUUAUGAGAAACCAUAUUUUGCUUGAAGCAGUUUAUCAAUAAACCGCUUCGCGUCUGUUUCUACAAAAUUCUACAGGAAAGUUUUCCGGGAUUCUGGAUACUUACGCGGGUAAUACCUUUUAACGAUUCUAUGUAGAAAUACGCCGUUUGAUAUAUCUUUUAGGUGAAAAGAAAAUAGAGAAAUAUUAGGAGGUUCUAUUUUUAUGGGGGUACUAUUUUCCCCCCUUUUGGGGAUAUUUAUUUCCUCUAAGUUUGGUACUCUUUACCUUUAAUCAUUUGGCCAUGUGAAGGCUAUCACGCAUUUUGAGUUUAAUCUUCGAAAUUUGGUGUUCAUCAGUUUGUUGUCCAAACUCUGUCUUACAUUUAGAUUUGUUUAUAGGAAGAUUAACAUAAUAUCUAUGUGGAGUGCAAUCAUUGACCUCUUGUAGAGUCGUGCAGUCACAUGUAUUCAUAAUGCUGGUGCUUUUAUGCCACACAUGUACUUGUCAAUACUGGGUUCCACUCUUUUGUACUUGAACUUAUUAGUAAAAAAAAUAUUUUAUUAAUGUCAUUGAAGUAGCUGUGUGAAAGCAAUUACACACAACAGAUUUAAAAUCAAGGUUAUUGUAUUACAAGUAUCAGGUUUGUUUGCAGAACAGUGGUUUUGCCAAGUACUCAAUCUACGUAAAAAGCCAUCAGAGAGAACAUGUUUAUUCUUGGAAAUGUUAUUCAUUUGUUGUGUUUUUCAAUUAAACUCUGUCUUGAUACAUGUUUAUUUUAGAUACCAAGAUUGACAGAGUAUAGAUGUCAACGAGGAGCAAAGUCAUAUAUAUUCAUAACUUAUGUGCUUUAAUUAUAAAGUCUAUAAUUGUGAAUACUGUGUUCCAUUUAUGCUGUACUUAAACUUUUCAUAGUAAAAACAUUUGAUGUUCUUGAAAUAACUGUUUUCAUCAUUUUUUUCUUGUGCAUACUUAAUCCAUUAUCAAACCUACCAUUAACCCGAGCUAUAUAUGCUGUUCACCAUUGGUCUACCAUUCACUGUACUUUAUUGGCCUACUAUACAUUGUACACCUUUGGUCUACUGUCUAUCAUUCAGUGUAAACCAUUGGUCUACCAUUCACAGUACACUUGUGGUCUAUAAUGUAUGGCCAAUGGUGUAAAUUGAAUGGUUGACCAAUGGUAUAGUGUGUAUGGUAUGACAAUGGUGUACAGUGAACGGUAGGCCAAUGGUGUACGGUAAAUGGUAGGUCAACGGUGUAUGGUAAGCCAAUGGUGUACGGUGAUUGGUAGGGCAAUGGUGAACUGUAAAUGGUAGGUCAAUGGUGUGCGGUGUAUGGUAGGCCAAUGGUGUACAAUGUAUGGUAGGUCAAUGGUGUAUGGUGAAUGGUAGGGCAAUGGUGAACGGUGUAUGGUAGGUGAAUGGUGUACGGUGAAUGGUACGCGAAUGGUGUACGGUGAAUGGUAGGUGUACGGUGUAUGGUGAAUGGUAGGCGAAUGGUGUAUGGUGAAUGGUACGUGAAUGGUGUACGGUGAAUGGUACGCGAAUGGUGUACGGUGAAUGGUAGGUCAACGGUGUAUGGUGAAUGGUAGGCGAAUGGUGUAUGGUGAAUGGUGUAAGGUGAAUGGUAGACCAAUGGUGUCUAGUGAACGGUAGCUGAAUGGUAAAUGGUAGGCCAGUGAAUGGUGGCUGAAUGGUGGUCAACGGUAAACCUGUCUAUAGUGGCCAUGGUAGAUCAAUGGUGAAUGGUAUUUGAUCAAUGGUAUAUGAAUGGUAAAUGGUGCUCAUGAAUAUGGUAAUAGUAACGUCCCAAUUAUUUAAAUUAGUUUGAAUGGUAUACCAUUGGGGCUUGAAUGGUAUACCAUUGGUGUAUGAUGGGUGCUGUGCGAAUGGUAUUCCAAUGGUAUAUCAAUGGUGUUUCAGUGGUGUAUGGUGUAUGGUAUUUCAAUGGUAUACCAUUCAAUUUUUUUUAUAAGGGGAGCGAAGCGCGAGCUGAAAAUAUAGGAAUUUCAAACCCGAAGAGGGGCAUUCUAAGGCUUGUUUGUAGGAAUUCACUAAGACCAUACGUAUUUCACCAAUUAAAUUAUGCGAGCGCGAAGCGCGAGCUGAAAAUUUUUGAUAUUCAGAUCAGAAAAAGGGACAUUUAAGGACUGAUUUUAGGAAUUCGAGAGAGCACGAUUGGCGGGAAGAGGGCAGAAGAGAUUGAGCUUUUGAAGAAGCAGGUUAUUGUCUUCCCCGUGUCAGUUUGAGUCAAAGUACAAGUGAGUUAAUGUUUUAUAUUACUGUAUACUUGUAAACUUUGUAUGAUCAUGUAUUUUACUCUUACUAAAUAAUUAUUGAUGCCUAUGGGAUUACUUUAUAUGAAUUUUUAAUAUGUAAACUGACAUUAUUAUGCCUCUGAAGUCCUAUGAUUUUACAAAUACAGAUUUACCACAAGGAAUAUAUAAUAUUGAUUUGUUGGCAUGCACGAACACAAGUUAAGAUUUUUAUAAAUGUUUUUACAUUAAUAUGCGACUGUAACCCACUUACCGUCAGAUCUGUUUCAUGAUGUUGAUUGUAGUUUAUUGUUUUAUUUUCCCUUUAGCUCAACAUAUAUAUGCAAUGAUUUACUAGAUGAUGUUUGCAUACACUGUAAUUACCAAAGUACAUUAACCCAGAGGAAUUGAGAAGUGUGGGCGGUGAGUUUAUUUUUAAUUGGAUCGUAUUGCAAUAAAACCUGUCUUUUAAUUAUGUAAUAUUCAGGAAUUGUUUUUUUUUUUUGCAUUUUUAUCCAAACUGCAGUUUAGUUAUGGAUGAUAUAUAUGUAUAUUUUUAUCAACCCUCGUGUGUGAAGCAAGAAUAAAGAAAUGUCAUAUUGAGACUCAUAAUCAUCAUAUUGUAUAAACUAUCUAUUGAAAUAAUUGGAAAUUAUCACUUGGAAUAAAUGUUGUACAUGGG